GUCUUACCAAGCUGUUAAUAAUGAAGAAAUGCUCAUUAUUAAUAGCACAAUAUAAAGUAAAUGGCACUGAAUGUUAUGUUGGGGGCAGAGAAUGACACUGACAGCUUUUUCUUUAUUGUCUGCAGAGGAGAAGAAAGUAAAGAGCACUAAAGUGGAAGCAAAAGUCAAAAAGGAAGUGAAGGAUGGAAAAGGAGAAGCAAAGACGGCAGAGAAGGUCAAGCAGGCAGAGACAAAAACAACAGAAACUGGGCUAAUAAAGGCCAAAACGAAAGUUAAGGAGGAGAAAGCUCUUCAGACUGUAACUAAAUCGGACAAGAAAGAUCAAUAUGCAUUCUGUCGCUAUGUGAUUGACAUGUUUGCACAAGGGGAUUUUUAUCCAGGUGAAGUGGAAAUGGACUACUCCUUAACAUCUCCCAAAGUCCACCUGGAGUUCCGUCUGUCAAGUGACUGCCUUUUGACCUCUCAAGUUACUUGUUGAACCCUGAAGUUAAAUGCUGCAAAUGGUUGUUGUGCUGAAGCCAGAUGCAUUUUUGUGGGAGGGGAAAAAAAACAUUGCCUUGAAAACAAGAUUUAUUCAACCCAUCAGCUGUGAAAGGCAAUGCUGGAACAUCCAGACUCCAGAAACACUACUCAGUGUUUCUGAGAAGCAAAGUAGAGGUCAAGUAUGAUCAGCCUUUAUUUAUGGAAAUCAUUGAGAAGAGUGCCACCAAACAGUACUUGAUUAGUUUGUUACUGUCUUUCUCAGACAAAUUGCUCAUUUUACACCAUCCUUUUGUGAACAGAAGUAUUACUGUAAUUCAUUUUACUGAAUAGAUAAAUGUGGGGAAAACACC
Molecule: long non-coding RNA, 833 nt
Filed under: Zonotrichia albicollis (white-throated sparrow)
Lineage: Eukaryota; Metazoa; Chordata; Aves; Passeriformes; Passerellidae
Description: lncRNA (ENSZALG00000016148.1)
Source: RNAcentral